This 656-nucleotide ribosomal RNA is filed under the name uncultured bacterium. RNAcentral describes it as "bacterial SSU rRNA". It matches the Rfam family "Bacterial small subunit ribosomal RNA", at positions 153 to 796 of the family's 1533-position model. The record is from RNAcentral.
GAAACAGGUGCUAAUACCGCAUAACCAUAGUUACCGCAUGGUAACUAUGUAAAAGGUGGCUAUGCUACCGCUUUUGGAUGGGCCCGCGGCGCAUUAGCUAGUUGGUGGGGUAAAGGCUUACCAAGGCAAUGAUGCGUAGCCGAACUGAGAGGUUGAUCGGCCACAUUGGGACUGAGACACGGCCCAAACUCCUACGGGAGGCAGCAGUAGGGAAUCUUCCACAAUGGGCGAAAGCCUGAUGGAGCAACGCCGCGUGGGUGAAGAAGGUCUUCGGAUCGUAAAACCCUGUUGUUAGAGAAGAAAGUGCGUGAGAGUAACUGUUCACGUUUCGACGGUAUCUAACCAGAAAGCCACGGCUAACUACGUGCCAGCAGCCGCGGUAAUACGUAGGUGGCAAGCGUUAUCCGGAUUUAUUGGGCGUAAAGGGAACGCAGGCGGUCUUUUAGGUCUGAUGUGAAAGCCUUCGGCUUAACCGGAGUAGUGCAUUGGAAACUGGGAGACUUGAGUGCAGAAGAGGAGAGUGGAACUCCAUGUGUAGCGGUGAAAUGCGUAGAUAUAUGGAAGAACACCAGUGGCGAAAGCGGCUCUCUGGUCUGUAACUGACGCUGAGGUUCGAAAGCGUGGGUAGCAAACAGGAUUAGAUACCCUGGUAGUCC